GACGAACGCUGGCGGCGUGCUUAACACAUGCAAGUCGAACGGAAAGGCCCUGCUUUUGUGGGGUGCUCGAGUGGCGAACGGGUGAGUAACACGUGAGUAACCUGCCCUUGACUUUGGGAUAACUUCAGGAAACUGGGGCUAAUACCGGAUAGGAGCUCCUGCUGCAUGGUGGGGGUUGGAAAGUUUCGGCGGUUGGGGAUGGACUCGCGGCUUAUCAGCUUGUUGGUGGGGUAGUGGCUUACCAAGGCUUUGACGGGUAGCCGGCCUGAGAGGGUGACCGGCCACAUUGGGACUGAGAUACGGCCCAGACUCCUACGGGAGGCAGCAGUGGGGAAUAUUGCACAAUGGGCGGAAGCCUGAUGCAGCAACGCCGAGUGCGGGAUGACGGCCUUCGGGUUGUAAACCGCUUUCGCCUGUGACGAAGCGUGAGUGACGGUAAUGGGUAAAGAAGCACCGGCCAACUACGUG
Molecule: ribosomal RNA, 468 nt
Filed under: uncultured bacterium
Lineage: Bacteria
Description: partial 16S ribosomal RNA
Rfam family: Bacterial small subunit ribosomal RNA
Source: RNAcentral